AACGAACGCUGGCGGCAUGCCUAACACAUGCAAGUCGAACGAGACCUUCGGGUCUAGUGGCGCACGGGUGCGUAACGCGUGGGAAUCUGCCCUUGGGUUCGGAAUAACAGCGAGAAAUUGCUGCUAAUACCGGAUGAUGACGUAAGUCCAAAGAUUUAUCGCCCAAGGAUGAGCCCGCGUAGGAUUAGCUAGUUGGUGAGGUAAAGGCUCACCAAGGCGACGAUCCUUAGCUGGUCUGAGAGGAUGAUCAGCCACACUGGGACUGAGACACGGCCCAGACUCCUACGGGAGGCAGCAGUGGGGAAUAUUGGACAACGGGCGAAAGCCUGAUCCAGCAAUGCCGCGUGAGUGAUGAAGGCCUUAGGGUUGUAAAGCUCUUUUACCCGGGAUGAUAAUGACAGUACCGGGAGAAUAAGCUCCGGCUAACUCCGUGCCAGCAGCCGCGGUAAU
Molecule: ribosomal RNA, 450 nt
Filed under: uncultured bacterium
Lineage: Bacteria
Description: bacterial SSU rRNA
Rfam family: Bacterial small subunit ribosomal RNA
Source: RNAcentral